This 459-nucleotide ribosomal RNA is filed under the name uncultured bacterium. RNAcentral's name for it is "partial 16S ribosomal RNA". It matches the Rfam family "Bacterial small subunit ribosomal RNA", at positions 339 to 795 of the family's 1533-position model. The record is from RNAcentral.
CUACGGGGUGCAGCAGUAAGGAAUAUUGGUCAAUGGACGAAAGUCUGAACCAGCCAUGCCGCGUGAAGGAUGACGGCCCUAUGGGUUGUAAACUUCUUUUAUAUGGGAAGAAACCCCUCUACGUGUAGAGGGCUGACGGUACCAUACGAAUAAGCAUCGGCUAACUCCGUGCCAGCAGCCGCGGUAAUACGGAGGAUGCAAGCGUUAUCCGGAUUUAUUGGGUUUAAAGGGUGCGCAGGCGGAAAGAUAAGUCAGUGGUGAAAUCCUACGGCCUAACUGUAGAACUGCCAUUGAUACUGUCUUUCUUGAGUACAGUUGAAGUGGGCGGAAUGUGUCAUGUAGCGGUGAAAUGCAUAGAUAUGACACAGAACACCGAUAGCGAAGGCAGCUCACUAAACUGAAACUGACGCUCAUGCACGAAAGCGUGGGGAGCAAACAGGAUUAGAUACCCGUGUAGUC